Molecule: long non-coding RNA, 417 nt
Filed under: Dermacentor andersoni
Lineage: Eukaryota; Metazoa; Arthropoda; Arachnida; Ixodida; Ixodidae
Description: uncharacterized LOC126538398
Source: RNAcentral
CGACAACAUGAAGGUAAGUGUACUGAAAUCACAAAAUUUGAAACAAUAAGCGCUAAUAGUUGUGUUUUCUUUUAAAUUUUAGGCCUUGAUUGUUCAACGAGACGGCCCCCGUCGUGCUGGUUUUCAAGGUGCUCCCUCGCUGCCUAGAAGAUGCUGAUGCGGAAUAGAAAAUGCGAAAACGUCGCUUGCUCAACCGCAAAUUGACGGCUACGCUGAAGCGCAUGCCGUGUCUGCGGAAUUUGAACCCCGAGCUUUCCAGAGUUCCUUGGAAAAUCCUCCCAUGCACCUGCCAUGUACAUUGCCCUCCUCCUCGAUGUGGCGUGCAAGAUGGCAGCAGCAGCUGUGGGAACAGUUGAAGAGGCGAAGAAAGGUCCACUUUAUAAUAGGUUGUAUGUAAAUAAAACUGAUCGACCUCAA